CUCAUUCCCCCUUCUUAUAAUUAAAGGGGCGCUUGGUUCAAAGGCAAAGUAUGAAUAUUACGAUUUUAUGGAAUAACCUCUCAACAUUCAGGGUAAGGCAACGAAAUUUUUCACUCUCUCAAUCUCGCACAUUACCCCUCCUUAUAAUUGAAAUGAAUCCAGAUAAAGAUCUAAAACCUCUUCUCUCGGUGACCGAUUCCCAAGGAUUUUAAACCCGGGUGCCCUAAUCGUCGAUUCUGAAUCAUAUAGCCGGAAUCGGUCCCAGAAACUACUCCUCUGAGAGGCCGAUUCGACGUAUCCGAUUCUGAUUUUAGAAACAGCGUGCCCCUUCUCGGCAACCUCAUAUUACGUUUUCAAGCCUUCGUCACUGAUUCACUGGACAAGAAUUGCAGCUUUUGUGGGUUUAGAGAUGCGUACAUUGAAGGAAGUGGUGCAUGAUCUGCAUUGAUUGGGCUUCUUCUUCUUCUUCUUCAUUUUCAUUGGCUGCUCUGGGUGCACUAUUGUUGUGGUGAAAUUGGGAUUACCAUUUUCAGGAUUCACUACUGCCAUUGUGGAGUAUAUCCCCCAUUCCUAUUUUGUGAUUCUAGAUAAAUAUUAUUUGUGUUUGGGCUGUGCUGUCAAUUUGCCUGCAAUGCUGUUAUUGUAAGCUUCUUCUAUGCCUGAUACCCCCUUCUUGUGCUGCUUGAAUGCAAUUAAGUAUAGCAUUCUCAAUUAUUACUGGUAUUUGCCCUGGCAUGUUAGUUCCAUGAGCUGCAUUUGCCUGAUUCUGCACUGAGGGUUGUAAGUUUCUAGGCCUAAUAGUACCCAUCAGUCAACACCCAGAUUAAGGCCAAGCAAAUUUCAAUACAGUUAUUUUAAUCAUAGUAAUUGAGUUUGGCUUUCUAAGGCUAGCCAAUAACCUGAAGUUUGAAAACCCAUACACAUAAAUUAGCGUGAUAUAUAUAUAUAUAUAUAUUUACGGUAAGGUUGCUCCAUUGCAACCUAAUGUUUCAGGUUCGAGUCGGGAUACAGGCUCUCCACAAAGCGAGAGUAUGGCUGCGUACAUUAUCCCCCCCCCCCCCAAAGACCCUGCAGUGGUGGGAGCCUCGUCAACUUGGUUCUUGGUUUAUAUAUUUUAUAUUUUCUCCUGAAUCAUGUCCAGGGCCUCCUUGAGCUGGGACUAGUGCACUUUGCCAUUUUGGGUUUAUUACAGCAACCUAUUCGGACCAAGAGCACAGAAAUAUCUAUGAAGUAGCCAGACAAAGCCCAAACUGCUUCAUGCAUUUCUAAAGGGGGAACAAGCUUCAGUUGUCCUAGGAAGUUUUCAAGUAAAUUUAAUUGAUAGUUGACAUGCUAUAUAUGGUGAUGUAAUUGGGUAGUUUAUUGGCAGUUAUGGAUUAGAGAUGGGUUUAGAUAUGGUAGCCUUGGCACCACUUGGGCCACAGUUGGAUUAACUCGGUCAGAACAGGUUCUUGUACCCAUCAUGCCUGUCUCAUGAGACUCAUCUAGCAUUCUUAGAUGAAAUAGAUAUUUUCUUCUCUGUCUUUUCAAAAUAUUUGGAAAUUAUACGUGGAUUUGAAGACCCUUGACUAUUCCCCUGUACUAUCUAGUUUUAGAGUUAGCAUAUUUACUCUACCAAAAAAAAAAGGUUUAGCAUAUUUACUCUUUACCUUAAGGUAUAGUAGCACUUUUAUUGAAACCUGUCCUGCCUCACCACAAAUCACAUUAUCCAUGUUAGGGACAGUUAAUGUUUGUAUUGAUUCUUCUGUGUAAUGCUUAUAUUUUUAUUUUUUUAUUUUUUCUAUGUUGGUGAAUUUUGGAACUCAAGCACAUCCUAUAUAUUUUUCUCAAUAUUGGCUAUUAUUAGGAACGCUGGUCCUAUGUUAUUUUCAUUUGAGGGUCUCAAUCCCCAGAAUUGGUUGCUGAGGAUGUUACUUCGGGUCAUUCUUGUCUAUUCAAUGGUCGGAACACAUCAUCCUUUCACAUGGCAAAACAUAGGUGGGGCACAUAAGACGGCCUUUCUACAUGGGCUGUGCAGACAACCUUUUGCGUAAAGAUGUCAGCUGCACAGUAUAUUUGUGAAUUACAGUGGUUUGGUUGUUGCAGGAGUUUGAGAUGAUACCGCAACUAGUUUAAGAAGCUAAAGCACAUUGUCAUGGACAAAGAGGUUGGUCCAUGAUGGUGGGAACCGAAGUGUGAUGUUAUCAUCUUUAGAAGGAGGCCCUACUGCUUAGAUUGAGGUUUUGGGCGUGGAAGUAUGCAUGGGAUGCUCACUACCAGUACUGCUGUUUAUGUUGUUCAUCAUUAUGGAUCAAUAUAUAUCCAUCUCAUUGAUUAAGUUUCAGCCCCAAAAUACAGGGAAAGAGCCUCAAAAGGGAGUCACAGUAUUAUUAUUGUUACAAAAAUAGAGAUAGAUAUCAAGGGAAGGCGGUUCUCCGCAGGUCUUCACCUAAGUAAAAUGCCAUGCCCUCUAGUAACUUUCACAUGGCAGUUCACCGAGACUGAAAUAAUUGUGUGGGUGGAUACCAAGGUCUUCUAGUCAUUUGCCAAAUUUAAGUUCAAUCCAAGUUUGUCAAGUGGCAAAAAUGUAUUGAAAAAAUUUAGGACUACGAAGAAACUACAAUGGUCAAAGUUUCUCUAUCAUCCUUUUACUUGGCAAAAAAUGUAAGACCUGAUAGUUUACUUCGAGGGGAGUUUCUAUUGAAAUCUUUUUCCUUGUUUUUUUUU
Macadamia integrifolia is the source of this 2706-nucleotide long non-coding RNA. RefSeq lists it as uncharacterized. The record is from RefSeq and is a predicted model, not a curated record. The transcript has 4 exons. Lineage: Eukaryota; Viridiplantae; Streptophyta; Magnoliopsida; Proteales; Proteaceae.